Molecule: ribosomal RNA, 493 nt
Filed under: uncultured bacterium
Lineage: Bacteria
Description: partial 16S ribosomal RNA
Rfam family: Bacterial small subunit ribosomal RNA
Source: RNAcentral
AUUGAACGCUGGCGGCAUGCUUUACACUUGCAAGUCGAACGGUAACAGGUUAAGCUGACGAGUGGCGAACGGGUGAGUAAUGCAUCGGAACGUGCCCGGUCGUGGGGGAUAACGCAGCGAAAGUUGCGCUAAUACCGCAUACGAUCUGAGGAUGAAAGCGGUGGACCGUAAGGCCUCGCGCGAUCGGAGCGGCCGAUGUCAGAUUAGGUAGUUGGUGGGGUAAAGGCUCACCAAGCCAACGAUCUGUAGCUGGUCUGAGAGGACGACCAGCCACACUGGGACUGAGACACGGCCCAGACUCCUACGGGAGGCAGCAGUGGGGAAUUUUGGACAAUGGGCGAAAGCCUGAUCCAGCAAUGCCGCGUGCAGGAAGAAGGCCUUCGGGUUGUAAACUGCUUUUGUACGGAGCGAAAAGGUCUCCUCUAAUACAGGGGGCUCAUGACGGUACCGUAAGAAUAAGCACCGGCUAACUACGUGCCAGCCGCCGCGGUAA